This 809-nucleotide ribosomal RNA is filed under the name Shigella sonnei. Its description in RNAcentral is "partial 23S ribosomal RNA". It matches the Rfam family "Bacterial large subunit ribosomal RNA", at positions 942 to 1751 of the family's 2925-position model. Lineage: Bacteria; Pseudomonadati; Pseudomonadota; Gammaproteobacteria; Enterobacterales; Enterobacteriaceae. The record is from RNAcentral.
ACCCGAUGCAAACUGCGAAUACCGGAGAAUGUUAUCACGGGAGACACACGGCGGGUGCUAACGUCCGUCGUGAAGAGGGAAACAACCCAGACCGCCAGCUAAGGUCCCAAAGUCAUGGUUAAGUGGGAAACGAUGUGGGAAGGCCCAGACAGCCAGGAUGUUGGCUUAGAAGCAGCCAUCAUUUAAAGAAAGCGUAAUAGCUCACUGGUCGAGUCGGCCUGCGCGGAAGAUGUAACGGGGCUAAACCAUGCACCGAAGCUGCGGCAGCGACGCUUAUGCGUUGUUGGGUAGGGGAGCGUUCUGUAAGCCUGCGAAGGUGUGCUGUGAGGCAUGCUGGAGGUAUCAGAAGUGCGAAUGCUGACAUAAGUAACGAUAAAGCGGGUGAAAAGCCCGCUCGCCGGAAGACCAAGGGUUCCUGUCCAACGUUAAUCGGGGCAGGGUGAGUCGACCCCUAAGGCGAGGCCGAAAGGCGUAGUCGAUGGGAAACAGGUUAAUAUUCCUGUACUUGGUGUUACUGCGAAGGGGGGACGGAGAAGGCUAUGUUGGCCGGGCGACGGUUGUCCCGGUUUAAGCGUGUAGGCUGGUUUUCCAGGCAAAUCCGGAAAAUCAAGGCUGAGGCGUGAUGACGAGGCACUACGGUGCUGAAGCAACAAAUGCCCUGCUUCCAGGAAAAGCCUCUAAGCAUCAGGUAACAUCAAAUCGUACCCCAAACCGACACAGGUGGUCAGGUAGAGAAUACCAAGGCGCUUGAGAGAACUCGGGUGAAGGAACUAGGCAAAAUGGUGCCGUAACUUCGGGAGAAGGCACGC